Molecule: ribosomal RNA, 434 nt
Filed under: uncultured bacterium
Lineage: Bacteria
Description: partial 16S ribosomal RNA
Rfam family: Bacterial small subunit ribosomal RNA
Source: RNAcentral
AGCGAACGCUGGCGGCAGGCCUAACACAUGCAAGUCGAACGAACCUUUCGGGGUUAGUGGCGGACGGGUGAGUAACACGUGGGAACGUGCCUUUAGGUUCGGAAUAACUCAGGGAAACUUGUGCUAAUACCGAAUGUGCCCUUCGGGGGAAAGAUUAAUCGCCUUUAGAGCGGCCCGCGUCUGAUUAGCUAGUUGGUUGAGGUAAUGGCUCACCAAGGCGACGAUCAGUAGCUGGUCUGAGAGGAUGAUCAGCCACAUUGGGACUGAGACACGGCCCAAACUCCUACGGGAGGCAGCAGUGGGGAAUCUUGCGCAAUGGGCGAAAGCCUGACGCAGCCAUGCCGCGUGAAUGAUGAAGGUCUUAGGAUUGUAAAAUUCUUUCACCGGGGACGAUAAUGACGGUACCCGGAGAAGAAGCCCCGGCUAACUUCGUC